Long non-coding RNA from Siniperca chuatsi (mandarin fish), 2334 nucleotides. RefSeq lists it as uncharacterized. The record is from RefSeq and is a predicted model, not a curated record. Lineage: Eukaryota; Metazoa; Chordata; Actinopteri; Centrarchiformes; Sinipercidae. The transcript is spliced from 4 exons.
GGCACACUGCUGCUAACUGUACUAGCCGCCAUUAGCUAGUUACCUAACUGGGGGACCCAGUGGGAGGAUGCUGCCGUGGAGCGGCAGUGGAGCGGGGCCGAGAAUGAGCACCAGAACCAGAGCCGGGGGCAAGUGUGCAACGGAACACGGUUCAGCAGCCUCCCAGUGAACACAGCCGGACCGGGACCGAACACAGGCUCUGAGACCAACUGAGGCCAGUUUGACUGAGGUAAUUUCCAGCGGCUCCGACCAGGACUCUGACUCCAGGGAUGAGGAAGACACGGCGGGGACAGAAGAGACAUGAAGCGGCAGAGGAGCGAGUUCAUUUGCCAAAGCAGCCCCUCCAUAUCCUUGGAGCAACUGAACUCUCAACAGCAGAUAAGCCUCAAUGGAGCAGAGUAGAAAGUGGGAGCUCUCCUAUUCAGAAUAGCAGGCGCUCACCUGAAGACAGCAAUCAAAGGGGCGUAAAUGGAGUCUCCAUCAUAGACGUACAUGUGGUCCCAGCUGCACUCUGUGGCAAAGUGAUUGAAGCGCAGCCUGAGUACUGCAUUAGGACUGGGAGACAGGGAGAGAGAGGAGACUGAAUAGAUGGCAUGCUAGGAGAUGAGGGGAACUCCAUGGCAAGCUUGGACCUGGGACAACUACAGCUCCCAGGAGCCUUUGCCAGCAGCUAGAGGAUAGCUCAGAAACGAGGCUGGACUUCAACUCUCUAUAGUGUCACACUGUACAGCCUUGCCACAGCUAAUGCAUGCAGAUUUAAGAUUUAAUGGGCUUAAAUGGCAACAGUAAGCAAAUCAAAUUACACUGGUAUUAGCUUUUAAGGAAUAACAGCAGUGAUGUGUCCAGACAGUGGGCAGUGACACCCAGACUGUCUCCUUCCCUGACUGAAUUGCACAACCAAAGUUAAGUAGACUGUCCAGUCCCCUAAAAGAAAGGAAUAAAAUUAAGUUAUCAGCUGAACUGAAAGGUCAGUGUGUCUUACAGGACAGGAUGCAUAAAAAAGCCUUGUAUUGAUUUUCUCUUUCCUACUCCUCCACUACAACAAGACAGACAUUCACUAACCACCGGACUGCACAACAGCGUGGUGACGCAUUCAUACAAGAGAGAAACAUGUAAUCAAAAACAACCACAGUCACACACACAACCACGCAUACAAAGACUUUCAGUGACAGAGUCGAGUCAGCUGAGAGUGACAUCACUGUUAAUAACAAAAACACGUACACGUUUUUGUUUAACUUGACUGUGAGGGACUUCCACUGACUGUUUUCAUUCCCUAACCCUUUAAUCGUAACCUGAACCCUUCACACUGCACGCCUGUUCUUAAACAUUAUCAUAAAUUAGCCUGUUAAAGAAGGGAGAGUUGUCCAGAAGUGACUUCACUUCGAAAAAAUGUCCUCCCUUGUUUAAAAAGACACACACUGUGUUUGAAAAGAAAAAUAUGAAAAUUCACAGGCUUGAAAAUCCUCCAAGAAUACUACCACUCCUUGGCUAUAUAGUCUUAGAUGACCAUAUUUAGAAAAAACUUUUCAUGGCAGUGACUCAUUCAAAUGAACUGUUAAAUUCACAACAAUGUACAACACACUGGAAUCCCAUCUCAGCCCAGUCAAAACCUUCCCUAUGUCCUAACCUUCCCUAUAUUAUUCAAUGCAAAAAAUGUAUGUAAUCACCUUCUAACAUUUUAAAACAUUUUAUUCAUCUUCACUGUUCAAUCAAAUGUCAUUGGUAGCCUUCUGCCCCAGGUAUAAAACCAUUAUGAUGGUCAUUAAUAAGGUGAAUACAAGUGACUGGCAGUUUGCAGGAUUUUCUGGUUCCUUCUCAGUCAAGAAACAAGACUAAGAGUCUACAGCCCAACAACAAGAAGCAACAACACAUGGAGGAAAAGUCAAGGGGAUUACAAUUCAUCCUGAGGGGAACAUGAAUGUCUGUACCAAAUUUAUUGGCAAUCCAUCCAAUAGGUGUUGAGCCUUUUCACUCAAAACCACAAAUGUGAACCUCAUGGUGUACUAGAGAUAAAGUCAGAAUCACAAUAGUCAUUAGGAUAUAUCCUCCCGGGACUACGAACGUCUAUGUACAAUUUUGUGCCAAUUGAUACAGUAGACGUUGAAAUAUUUCAGAGGAUAAGUGACAACUUUUACCUGUUGGUGGUGCUACAGGAAAAGUCAGGUUAUCACCAAAGUUAUGGGUUCAUCCUCUGGGCACCAUGGAUUUCUGACCAAUAAUUGUUAAGAUAUUUCAGUAAGUGUCACCCUGCUGGUAGCACUAGAGGUCAAGUCAGGGGAUCACCAAAGUCAGUAAACGUCAUCUUCUGGGGACCAUGAAUGUCUUUACAAAAUU